RNAcentral lists this long non-coding RNA (1043 nucleotides) under Trifolium pratense (red clover). RNAcentral's name for it is "long non-coding RNA (TPRA_LNC009260)". The record is from RNAcentral. Lineage: Eukaryota; Viridiplantae; Streptophyta; Magnoliopsida; Fabales; Fabaceae.
GCAACAAAACAAUCUAACCUGCCAUGAGUCAUAUGUCGCGUUUACAAAGAAGAUUGGUGUGGUGAUUUGUGAUACAACAUAUUGAGGGAAAAAUCACUGCAACAUAGUUNNNNNNAAAGUAUUGUGAUUUAAAAAGAUUUAGAUAAAAAAACAAAAGAGGUAGAGAGGAUGAUAUGAAAAUAGAUGAACUUUGAAUAUAUCAAGAGUAUUGCACAACAUAAUAUGCAAAACAACUUGAGUUAGGGAGUAGUGCAGAUUUUGGAUUCUCAAUUUGAGAACAAAGCCAUCGACAACAAAGUAAAAAUUUACUGAAAAAAAAUAUUGGCAUUACAAAAAUUAUAAGAGAGAUGCAUUGCAACCCUGCCACAGUGUUAUGAAACAUAUUGAGGGGAAUUAUGAGAGAGAUGCAUUGCAACUCAUGAUUGAUAAACGAAACCACUUUUCUGGAAAAAAUGAAAACAAAGUAAAGUUAGAAGAUUGAAAUGCAAUAGAAAUUAUGUCAAUUUUCCACACUAAAAAAUGGAAAAAAUAAAAAUAAAAAUAUAAUGGGAAUUAGAUGUUCUCACCGUAAAAUGUAGUAUCUCAGAUCACCUCCUUCAAAUCUCAAGUCACCCUCUCACGAUCCCUCUCAUCCUCUCAAAAUUCCUUCAAAUUGAAGUUUCGUCUUUCUAAAUUUUCAGCAACCGAACUUUCAAGAAAAUAAGAAGAAAAUAGCAGUUGGAGAAUUGGAGAAAUAAAGGGAAGGAAACCGCUGCCAAGAGGUUACUAUGUUACGCGGGAUGUUGUUUUGAUUGGAGGGGUAUAUGAAAGUAUUUGAAUUUUGAAAAAAGGGUAAAGUUGGAAAAUAGAGCAGCAUCACCUUGGUAGUAUAUGGGGACAGACAAAAAUAAAACCCAAAACACAGGGAAACUACAANNNNNNNNNNNNNNNNNNNNNNNNUAUACGCACAUAAAUACCUGCGAGAGUUAUGGAGGAUUGAAGUAAAAAUGUUUAGACUUUUUUUUAGCAUCAAGAAAAUGAAAAGGAUUAUAUCAUUAUUUGUU